CUCGUAGGCGGCUUGUCGCGUCUGCUGUGAAAACGCGGGCUUAACUCCGCGCGUGCAGUGGGUACGGGCAGGCUAGAGUGUGGUAGGGGUGACUGGAAUUCCUGGUGUAGCGGUGAAAUGCGUAGAGAUUUGGAGGAACACCAGUGGCGAAGGCGACUGUCUGGUCUGUAACUGACACUGAGGCGCGAAAGCGUGGGGAGCAAACA
RNAcentral lists this ribosomal RNA (206 nucleotides) under uncultured bacterium. RNAcentral describes it as "partial 16S ribosomal RNA". It matches the Rfam family "Bacterial small subunit ribosomal RNA", at positions 568 to 774 of the family's 1533-position model. The record is from RNAcentral.